This is a long non-coding RNA of Ictalurus punctatus (channel catfish), 1319 nucleotides long. The record is from Ensembl. Lineage: Eukaryota; Metazoa; Chordata; Actinopteri; Siluriformes; Ictaluridae.
UGUCAAUGAUGUACAGAACCAUUUCUACUGUAAGAUAUAUUGUAAGAAAGAAGAAAAAAAAUAUAUGCAUCCCUUUUCCAAUACUCGGAUGUUUUGGGCUAGUUGCGGGUCUUCUGUGCGGUCCCAUUACGUUUAUUUACGCAUUUACUUUUCUUAUGUUUCUUGUACCUUGUUCUUUUUUCAUUGGCUUAGGCUUAUUAGGGUGUGGCCAACAUGAGAGGAAAAGGGGGAGGGGUUUUGGGAGUUUUUGGAGGGAAAAAAGAACAAUAGAAAACUAGCCAGCUCUUGUUUAUGAGUGCAUUAAGUAGCUUAAGGCUAAAAAAAAACAAACAAACAAACAAAAAAACUUUUCUUCAGGGAGACUUAACAGCAGAUGUAUUGUAUCUGAGAAGAAGAUUUGAGCAUUCAGAAUGGCCUGCAGUCAUGGUUUGGCAGGAGAGAGCGCUGCCACUGCCGCAUGAUAGAUUCGAGGACUAAACAGAGCCGACUGAAGUUUCAAGGUGAGGAGGCUUUUUAGGAGCUGGAAGAUGGGACCGGCUAACUCCAUUGUGAUCAUGGCUUCCAUUAAAGCUAACACAGCUGCGUAGAAGCCUCAUCUGUCAUUGUGAUACGGAACAAGGCCCCUUUGGAGGUAGACAUGCUCUUUCUACGGCAUGGGAUGACGCCAAAUAAACCAUCGCGUGUUUACUACGAUGAAUCAAGUCCUUCCUCUGUGCUUCUUCGUUCAUGGAUCCAAUCUGUCCUAGCACCGUCAUUCAUUCUUCUCAGCACCGUUCAUUUUUUUUCUCCUACGCAAAUGCAAUGCCGACAUUACGAGUCCCUCCGACUGACUUUCCAUUUUUUAUUUAUUUAUUUUUUGUAUUUUUUUUUAGAUGCUCUAAGUAUCUAGCGCCAGUCCACACUUCAUCAGGUUUCACGCUGAGAAACUCACAUUAGCAGUCUGAAGAAGCAUGGCCUCCAUCAGAGCCCCAAGACAACAGCUGAAAAAUGCUAGCCCCGGGCACCUUCACCAGGUCACUCCUGUUUGUAAACGCAAGACUUUCCAGCUGCGCUGACCACGGAGGAGUCCGGCUACCAGCGUUCCAUGGCUUUAAAGUCAAUGUACUUCAUUAUGUCCUGCCAGGAUGCGUUCUUUUGAGCGUCUAAAGAGAGACGAAAAGCCACCCCAGAGGCCAAAAAUUGCAGGCUGUCGGUUUCAUCGCAGGACCGAAACAGACCUCUUUAUAAAUGAGCCACACACAGAGAGAGAUGGGGAGAACCAUUUGAAUUACAAAAACUCCUCGGCCUCUUUAGGAAACUGAAGGAGUAGUUGGUGUGCA